Molecule: ribosomal RNA, 253 nt
Filed under: uncultured prokaryote
Description: partial 16S ribosomal RNA
Rfam family: Bacterial small subunit ribosomal RNA
Source: RNAcentral
ACGUAGGGGGCAAGCGUUGUCCGGAUUUAUUGGGCGUAAAGAGCGUGUAGGCGGCCAUGUAGGUCCGUUGUGGAAACUCGAGGCUCAACCUCGAGACGCCGAUGGAAACCAUGUGGCUAGAGUCCGGAAGAGGAGAGUGGAAUUCCUGGUGUAGCGGUGAAAUGCGCAGAUAUCAGGAAGAACACCCGUGGCUAAGGCGGCUCUCUAGUACGGUACUGACGCUGAGGUGCGAAAGCGUGGGGAGCAAACAGGA